GAUGAACGCUGGCGGCGUGCCUAAUACAUGCAAGUCGAGCGAACAGACGCGGACCUUGCUCCUCUAACGUUGACGGCGGAAGGGUGAGUAAAAUGAGGUUCCCCUACCUUUAGGAUUGGGCUAACUUCGUGAAACUGAUGCUAAUUCCGGAUACUUUCUGCAACGGCAUGGUUCAAUAGCUAAGGCCGUUUUUGCUGUACCUUAUAGCUGUAUCCGCGCCGCAUUAGUUAGUUGGUAAGGUAACGGCUUACAAAGGCAACGAUGCGUAGCCGACCUGAGAGGGUGAUCGGCCACACUGGAAGUGAGACACGGUCCAGACUCCUACGGGAGGCAGCAGUAGGGAAUCUUCGGAGAUGGGCGAAAGACUGACGGAGCAACGCCGCGUGAGUGAUGAAGGUCUUCGGAUCGUAAAACUCUGUUAUUAGGGAAGAACAAAUGUGUAAGUAACUAUGCACGUCUUGACGGUACCUAAUCAGAAAGCCACGGCUAACUACGUG
This 497-nucleotide ribosomal RNA is filed under the name uncultured bacterium. RNAcentral describes it as "partial 16S ribosomal RNA". It matches the Rfam family "Bacterial small subunit ribosomal RNA", at positions 28 to 507 of the family's 1533-position model. The record is from RNAcentral.